Molecule: long non-coding RNA, 502 nt
Organism: Apis florea (little honeybee)
Lineage: Eukaryota; Metazoa; Arthropoda; Insecta; Hymenoptera; Apidae
Source: RefSeq, a predicted model, not a curated record
GAAUGACGAGUAUAUAUAUAUACAUAGUUCCGCGAAACGAAGCAUAAUAACGUUGACAUAUAUUUGUAACGUAGGGUCGUUGUUCAAUGCUCACAUUCAUUUUCACUCGCUAUCUAUUUCUCGAUUUGUUCACGAGAAUAAUAUAAUGCUGCCGAUAAGUAUAUGCAAUGAUAAUAACUUUAUGACUAUAUAUAUAGUAGUUUAUUGUAGUUGGUGAAGUAUGUUACAUCGCUACUCUUAGUCGCGUUUCAAGUGAUAGAUUAUAUUAGAUAUUUAAGUUAAACGAGACAGAUGUGCCUUUUUUUUUAUAGUAUAUUGAAUAUUUUAGCGCUAGAAACUCAUCAUUAUUAAGUCAUGUUUAUAUAAAUGCUCAUUUGUAACGAUUGCCGCCGAAGUCAGUGCAAAGACUGCCAACAUCUUGCAACAUUAGAUGUAACGGGAGCAAAUAGAGAAAUAUAACAAACAAAUUAUAGAAUAAAGAAUAUACUCUUUCUAUAUGAUA